ACGGAAGCAUUGGAUGGAAUUGUGAAACACUCUGUAAGUCGGGAUUCUAUGGCUAUCUCUGUUUAACGUCAUGUGAGUGUGGAGCUCACCUGUGUGAUAAACAGACUGGGUGUCUCUUACCACAGAAUGAUACAUCAACAACCCGAACCAACAAUCACACCCUGACUACUUUGUCAACAAUUGUCUUUGAAGGAACUGCAAGUCAGGAAGAGUACACUGCAACCACUCAAGCUCGAAAGCAGCCCACUUUUUCAGGAAACAGUGUUCAAGAAAAUACAAUCGAGAAUGUUUAUAUUGAAACUUUUGAUCAGAAGAGGAAUAUUAGUGGAACGUCAGUAUCUAGCGAUAACAGUUCAGAAAGACGA
Magallana angulata is the source of this 365-nucleotide long non-coding RNA. RefSeq lists it as uncharacterized. The record is from RefSeq and is a predicted model, not a curated record. Lineage: Eukaryota; Metazoa; Mollusca; Bivalvia; Ostreida; Ostreidae. The transcript has 4 exons.